RNAcentral lists this transfer RNA (72 nucleotides) under Anaerolineales bacterium. Its description in RNAcentral is "tRNA-Thr". It matches the Rfam family "tRNA". Rfam says of the family: Transfer RNA (tRNA) molecules are approximately 80 nucleotides in length. Their secondary structure includes four short double-helical elements and three loops (D, anti-codon, and T loops). RNAcentral also lists the same sequence under 1 other name. The record is from RNAcentral. Lineage: Bacteria; Bacillati; Chloroflexota; Anaerolineae; Anaerolineales.
GCCGACGUAGCUCAAUGGCAGAGCAACCGCCUUGUAAGCGGUAGGCUACGGGUUCGACUCCCGUCGUCGGCU